CUUGUGAAGAAGGAGCUCAAGGCAACACAAACAGUAACCUUUUACACCCCUGGCCGUGUCACAGGCCUGCUGAAUACACACUCAUCCAGUUAGUCCCAAGAGGGGCCAGCAGGGAGACACACAACUCAUGGCCUAGAACUCGGGCUGGACUCCCGGACUUCCUGCUUUGCAGUCUCAGCUCCACACCCCCUAGCUGCAUGACGCCGGG
This 208-nucleotide long non-coding RNA is filed under the name Fukomys damarensis (Damara mole-rat). RNAcentral's name for it is "lncRNA (ENSFDAG00000023087.1)". Lineage: Eukaryota; Metazoa; Chordata; Mammalia; Rodentia; Bathyergidae. The record is from RNAcentral.